UGGAAGAUCAGGCCCUUGGCCGUGGGGAAGAGCUGGGAGGAAGGAGAAGCGGCAGGAGGGCUGGGGCCAGAGAUGCUGCGGGCAGCAAGAGAGCAGGGGAUGCUGGCUCAGGCCCAGGUUGUUCUCCAGUCUCACUCCGUCCAGCCCUGCCUUGUGGGAAGAAGCUUCUGGUUUCAGUGGCCUGAUAAACUCGUCCGCAGGUGAGCUUUGAUAGCUGAUCAUGGCUUGGCCACGCCCUCCCCAAGUGUGGUCCCCAGACCCACAGCAUCAUUAUCACCUGGAAACUUAUUAGAACGGCCACCCACCCCAGACCUACGAGAUCAGCAAUCCGUUUCUUAAGAAGCCCUGCCUACUCACCUUAGAGAACCGCUGACUUAGAGUGUG
RNAcentral lists this long non-coding RNA (384 nucleotides) under Sus scrofa (pig). Its description in RNAcentral is "lncRNA (ENSSSCG00065045572.1)". The record is from RNAcentral. Lineage: Eukaryota; Metazoa; Chordata; Mammalia; Artiodactyla; Suidae.